GAUGAACGCUGGCUACAGGCUUAACACAUGCAAGUCGUGGGGAAACGGCAUUAUGUGCUUGCACAUUCUGGACGUCGACCGGCGCACGGGUGAGUAUCGCGUAUCCAACCUGCCCCUUACUUGGGGAUACCCCGUUGAAAGACGGCCUAAUACCCGAUGUGUUUCAUUGACGGCAUCCGAUAUGAAACAAAGGUUUUUCCGGUAAGGGAUGGGGAUGCGUCUGAUUAGCUUGUUGGCGGGGCAACGGCCCACCAAGGCGACGAUCAGUAGGGGUUCUGAGAGGAAGGUCCCCCACAUUGGAACUGAGACACGGUCCAAACUCCUACGGGAGGCAGCAGUGAGGAAUAUUGGUCAAUGGACGCAAGUCUGAACCAGCCAAGUAGCGUGCAGGAUGACGGCCCUAUGGGUUGUAAACUGCUUUUAUGUGGGAAUAAAGUGGCGCACGUGUGCGCCAUUGCAUG
This 461-nucleotide ribosomal RNA is filed under the name Prevotella nigrescens. RNAcentral describes it as "bacterial SSU rRNA". It matches the Rfam family "Bacterial small subunit ribosomal RNA", at positions 28 to 475 of the family's 1533-position model. The record is from RNAcentral. Lineage: Bacteria; Pseudomonadati; Bacteroidota; Bacteroidia; Bacteroidales; Prevotellaceae.